Molecule: ribosomal RNA, 301 nt
Filed under: uncultured bacterium
Lineage: Bacteria
Description: partial 16S ribosomal RNA
Rfam family: Bacterial small subunit ribosomal RNA
Source: RNAcentral
CAGUAGCCGCGGGAACACGGAGGGGGCUAGCGUUGUUCGGAAUUACUGGGCGUAAAGCGCACGUAGGCGGCUUGGUAAGUUAGAGGUGAAAGCCUGGAGCUCAACUCCAGAAUUGCCUUUAAGACUGCCGAGCUAGCAGGUGAGAGAGGUAAGUGGAAUUCCGAGUGUAGAGGUGAAAUUCGUAGAUAUUCGGAAGAACACCAGUGGCGAAGGCGGCUUACUGGCUCAUACUGGACGCUGAGGUGCGAAAGCGUGGGGAGCAAACAGGAUUAGAGACCCCCGUAGUCCCUGUCUCUUAUAC